Sorex araneus (European shrew) is the source of this 1202-nucleotide long non-coding RNA. RefSeq lists it as uncharacterized. NCBI's taxonomy places the organism in Eukaryota, Metazoa, Chordata, Mammalia, Eulipotyphla, Soricidae. The transcript has 2 exons. The record is from RefSeq and is a predicted model, not a curated record.
ACAAAACAAUACAAAUUACACUCAAUUAUGUAUACGCAAAUUAGGCACUUACGAUGAAGAGCUAUGAAAAUUUAUAAUAAAAAGUUUAAACAACAAUAGUGAAUAAUCUGUUUAAAACUUUUUUUUCUUUAAAGUUUCUACUGUUAGGCGGAGAGAUAGCACAAGGGCACAUACGGUUCCCAGAGGACUAUCAGAGGUAACUCCUGACUACAGCCAGAACACUCCCUAAGCAUGACAAGGCACUCGGGGGACACCAGCUUCCCUUUCACCACUGACUCCCUGCGAAGGUUCCCUGUUACCCGUCCAGGCUCCCUCCCUGCUGCUGAGGAACUGGACUUCUAAGGCAGGGCUACAUGAACCGCUCCUCCCUUAGCGCCUGUAAUCGCGCAGCUCCGUUUGUUUUCUCUGGAACAGCAGUCACUCUUCUUCCUGGCUCCUGACGCCUCUCCUUGGCUGAUCUUACUCUUCACAAGAGACUAUCCAAAGAGCUCUAGUCUGUCCUUUCUUUUUUUCUAAACCAUUUUACUCAAAUAUACUCCAAAAUAAUUUUUCCCUUCUUGGAGCCUCAUGAGCACUUCCUGCCAGCAUCAUGCAUGUGGUUAGAAAAUAAGUUUCACAAAUAUCCCUUUUGUUCCUGUAACUGUAGGUGCCUUGGGACAGAAACAAGCUGGUAUUCCCCUCAAUACCUAAACUACAUAGACACAAAAUGUUCAUUAUUUCCAACUGCAUACAUUUGUGAUAUGGAUGGUAUGUCAUCACCUGGUUCAACAUUGUGACAUUUCUAAGUAAGCUUCUGAAGGUCAGAUAAAAACUAUGACUGUACUACACUCUACAUCUUUUCACUCAAAACCUACCUUUGGAUGUUGCUCUGGACUGAAUUUUGUGUCCCAUCAAAUGGCAGGCUAAUGCCCCAAGACCCACUGUGACUCCCUGGAGAUGAGGGUCUUCAAAAUGUGAUGGGGGUUAAAUGAUGGCCCAAGGGUGAGGAACUAAGAUUGUCGGGGACCCAAAAAGGAAGAGACACAGGGGUCUCUCCCUGUCUCCAUAGAAAGCUACUUCAGGGCAUGUUAUUAUACCUUGGACAUUUUCUGACUUACAAGAGUUCACAAACUGGCUAUUAUCUAAUCUUCCAUCCAUACUCCGGAUGUCAACUGAACUGAUAAACGAAAACUGGUCUACAUAAAUAAACCUACUUCCUAAGA